CUUCAUCCAUGUGCUAGUUCAGCCUGUGAGAUGCUGGUGAGCCCACCUCCAGGCACUCACGGACUCCCCACCCAUUGAGUGUGGCCUGGAUUUAGUGACUCAAUCAAACGUGACAGAGUGCUGGGGUGUCACUUUCAAGACUGGGUUAUGUGAAGACUGCGGCCUCCAUCUGGGGUGCUCUCUCUUGGAUUGCUUGCUCAGGGAUGUGGGGAGAGCUGCCGUGUGGAGAGGCCCAUGUGAGUUGACUUGGAUGUGAACCUUCUGCGGCCUGCUAAUAGCCAUGUGUUUGUGUGGACACUGCUGUCAUUUCUCUUGAGAAGAUACCGAGGAGUCAGAUUGCUGGAUCCCAUGAAGAAUGUGCACCUGGGAUUGGCUCUUGCUUCCUAAGGAACCUCAAAAAAGCUGCAACCUAUUGGAGACUUUUGAUUCAGCAUCAAGGAUAUGUGUUAGACUUUGGUUCUUUUCUGUUGGGACACAGUUGAUUCUGACUGUCUUAAAGUUAGGCCCUUCUAAAGAUUUAGACUAACAAAUUAUUUGAAUGGGA
Long non-coding RNA from Pongo pygmaeus (Bornean orangutan), 544 nucleotides. RefSeq lists it as uncharacterized. The record is from RefSeq and is a predicted model, not a curated record. The transcript is spliced from 3 exons. Lineage: Eukaryota; Metazoa; Chordata; Mammalia; Primates; Hominidae.